This 794-nucleotide ribosomal RNA is filed under the name uncultured Treponema sp. RNAcentral describes it as "bacterial SSU rRNA". It matches the Rfam family "Bacterial small subunit ribosomal RNA", at positions 340 to 1127 of the family's 1533-position model. Lineage: Bacteria; Pseudomonadati; Spirochaetota; Spirochaetia; Treponematales; Treponemataceae. The record is from RNAcentral.
UACGGGAGGCAGCAGCUAAGAAUCUUCCGCAAUGGACGAAAGUCUGACGGAGCGACGCCGUGUGAAUGAAGAAGGCCGAAAGGUUGUAAAAUUCUUUUGCAGAUGAAGAAUAAGAAGAAGAGGGAAUGCUUCUUUGAUAACGGUAGUCAUGCGAAUAAGCCCCGGCUAAUUACGUGCCAGCAGCCGCGGUAACACGUAAGGGGCGAGCGUUGUUCGGAAUUAUUGGGCGUAAAGGGCAUGUAGGCGGCUAUGUAAGCCUGAUGUGAAAUCCUGGGGCUUAACCCUAGAAUAGCAUUGGGUACUGUAUAGCUUGAAUUACGGAAGGGAAACUGGAAUUCCAAGUGUAGGGGUGGAAUCUGUAGAUAUUUGGAAGAACACCGGUGGCGAAGGCGGGUUUCUGGCCGAUAAUUGACGCUGAGAUGCGAAAGUGUGGGGAUCGAACAGGAUUAGAUACCCUGGUAGUCCACACUGUAAACGAUGUACACUAGGUGUUGGGGCAAGAGCUUCAGUGCCAAAGCAAACGCGAUAAGUGUACCGCCUGGGGAGUAUGCCCGCAAGGGUGAAACUCAAAGGAAUUGACGGAGGCCCGCACAAGCGGUGGAGCAUGUGGUUUAAUUCGAUGGUACGCGAGGAACCUUACCUGGGUUUGACAUCUAGUAGAAGGUCUUAGAGAUAAGGCCGGGUAGCAAUACCCUGCUAGACAGGUGCUGCAUGGCUGUCGUCAGCUCGUGCCGUGAGGUGUUGGGUUAAGUCCCGCAACGAGCGCAACCCCUACUGCCGGUUACUAACAGGUA